This 72-nucleotide transfer RNA is filed under the name Candidatus Rifleibacteriota bacterium. RNAcentral's name for it is "tRNA-Gln". It matches the Rfam family "tRNA". From Rfam's summary of the family: Transfer RNA (tRNA) molecules are approximately 80 nucleotides in length. Their secondary structure includes four short double-helical elements and three loops (D, anti-codon, and T loops). Further hydrogen bonds mediate the characteristic L-shaped molecular structure. tRNAs have two regions of fundamental functional importance: the anti-codon, which is responsible for specific mRNA codon recognition, and the 3' end, to which the tRNAs corresponding amino acid is attached (by aminoacyl-tRNA synthetases). tRNAs cope with the degeneracy of the genetic code in two manners: having more than one tRNA (with a specific anti-codon) for a particular amino acid; and 'wobble' base-pairing, i.e. permitting non-standard base-pairing at the 3rd anti-codon position. Lineage: Bacteria; Candidatus Rifleibacteriota. The record is from RNAcentral.
UGGGACGUCGCCAAGUGGUAAGGCACCUGCCUUUGGAGCAGGUAUUCCCAGGUUCGAAUCCUGGCGUCCCAG